UGGUGGAGUGAUUUGUCUGCCUAAUCGCGAUAACGAACGAGACCUUAACCUGCUAAAUAGCCCACGUUACUUAGGUAGCGCGCUGGCUUCUUAGAGGGACUAUCGGCUCAAGCCGAUGGAAGUUUGAGGCAAUAACA
This 137-nucleotide ribosomal RNA is filed under the name uncultured eukaryote. RNAcentral describes it as "partial 18S ribosomal RNA". It matches the Rfam family "Eukaryotic small subunit ribosomal RNA", at positions 1299 to 1458 of the family's 1831-position model. The record is from RNAcentral.